RNAcentral lists this ribosomal RNA (498 nucleotides) under uncultured bacterium. Its description in RNAcentral is "partial 16S ribosomal RNA". It matches the Rfam family "Bacterial small subunit ribosomal RNA", at positions 899 to 1397 of the family's 1533-position model. The record is from RNAcentral.
ACUCAAAUGAAUUGACGGGGACCCGCACAAGCAGUGGAGCAUGUGGUUUAAUUCGAUGCAACGCGAAGAACCUUACCCAGACUUGACAUACAGGGGAAUACGCCAGAAAUGGUGUAGCUCUUCGGAGCCGCUGUACAGGUGCUGCAUGGCUGUCGUCAGCUCGUGCCGUGAGGUGUUGGGUUAAGUCCCGCAACGAGCGCAACCCUUAUCAUUAGUUGCCAACAGGUAAUGCUGGGAACUCUAGUGAGACUGCCUGGGUUAACCAGGAGGAAGGUGAGGAUGACGUCAAGUCCGCAUGGCCCUUAUGUCUGGGGCUACACACGUGCUACAAUGGGGGGUACAGAAAGCAGCGAAGCCGCGAGGUGAAGCAAAUCUCCAAAGCCCCUCUCAGUUCAGAUUGUAGUCUGCAACUCGACUACAUGAAGCUGGAAUUGCUAGUAAUGGCGUGUCAGCUACAACGCCGUGAAUACGUUCCCGGGUCUUGUACACACCGCCCGU